This 756-nucleotide ribosomal RNA is filed under the name uncultured bacterium. Its description in RNAcentral is "bacterial SSU rRNA". It matches the Rfam family "Bacterial small subunit ribosomal RNA", at positions 30 to 771 of the family's 1533-position model. The record is from RNAcentral.
CAGUCGAACGCGUCUUGGUUAUUGAUGUUAAGUGCUUGCAUUUAAUUGAUUUAACAUUGAGACGAGUGGCGAACUGGUGAGUAACACGUGGGUAACCUGCCCUUGAAGUAGGGGAUAACACUUGGAAACAGGUGCUAAUACCGUAUAACAACCAAAACCACCUGGUUUUGGUUUAAAAGAUGGCUUCGGCUAUCACUUUAGGAUGGACCCGCGGCGUAUUAGCUUGUUGGUAAGGUAACGGCCUACCAAGGCAAUGAUACGUAGCCGACCUGAGAGGGUAAUCGGCCACAUUGGGACUGAGACACGGCCCAAACUCCUACGGGAGGCAGCAGUAGGGAAUCUUCCACAAUGGACGAAAGUCUGAUGGAGCAACGCCGCGUGAGUGAUGAAGGGUUUCGGCUCGUAAAACUCUGUUGUUGGAGAAGAACAGGUGUGAGAGUAACUGUUCACAUCUUGACGGUAUCCAACCAGAAAGCCACGGCUAACUACGUGCCAGCAGCCGCGGUAAUACGUAGGUGGCAAGCGUUGUCCGGAUUUAUUGGGCGUAAAGCGAGCGCAGGCGGUUUCUUAGGUCUGAUGUGAAAGCCUUCGGCUUAACCGGAGAAGUGCAUCGGAAACCAGGAGACUUGAGUGCAGAAGAGGACAGUGGAACUCCAUGUGUAGCGGUGAAAUGCGUAGAUAUAUGGAAGAACACCAGUGGCGAAGGCGGCUGUCUGGUCUGUAACUGACGCUGAGGCUCGAAAGCAUGGGUAGCGA